AGGAGAUUUCUCAAGAUAAAUAUGACGUUCAUCAGUGACCAAAUAAACAAAUACUACUGUGCUGCUCCUUGGUUGUGGAGGCCAAUGCCCUGUUAAGCUGGUGUUUAGUCGAUUAUGGACUAGCGUGCCAUGCUCUGUCUAUUCGAGACAAGCCGCGGUUAUGGACCUCUCACUUCAGUGUCUGAUGGAAAUUAAGUCACCACUCACCACCCCUCCAACGAGACGGUAAUUCUGAAGGUGGCAAAAGAAUGAGAUAUUGGGGGUUGAUCCUUCCAGAGAUCUUUAUGAGUGAAAGACUUAUAAUGCAGGCAAAUUAUCAUUAUGAAUGCUCUAACUGUAUAGAGAUCAUUAUCUGGGCAAGCUAACUGAAAAGUAUGAAGCCAUCUUUGUUAUGCAGAGCCUUCCUACACUCCUGCAGAAAACUGUAAGAUUGAUAGUUAGCAACUACUGUACAUAAGUGCUCAGAAUACGUAAUUUCUAUUAUGUAGCAAAUCUACAUAUAUUCCAAUGCUCUGUCUAUCCGUAUAUUGCAUUGCACUUUAUGCUAUCACUUGCAAGCACCUGGGAGCUGGGGUGAAAUGUUACUCUUAAAGUAAAGGAUACUGUUGUGGAGCCCUGAAGCCAGUGCCAUGUCGUUUGAGCUCUAGAUGGCUUCUUAUCAUAAAUUAUCGGAUGUUCCAUGUGUAAUCAAGUUAAGGACUCCUUUGAUUCAAAGGAAAUUCACAGGGCUUCUCAACGAUUAGAAUCCGUAGGAAUUUUUCCUUUCCUAAGAAAUUGUUUGUGCAGGGACAAAUAGUUACCCC
This 803-nucleotide long non-coding RNA is filed under the name Hordeum vulgare. RNAcentral describes it as "long non-coding RNA (HVUL_LNC014511)". Lineage: Eukaryota; Viridiplantae; Streptophyta; Magnoliopsida; Poales; Poaceae. The record is from RNAcentral.